Molecule: ribosomal RNA, 254 nt
Filed under: uncultured bacterium
Lineage: Bacteria
Description: partial 16S ribosomal RNA
Rfam family: Bacterial small subunit ribosomal RNA
Source: RNAcentral
GACGAACCGUGCGAACGUUAUUCGGAAUCAUUGGGCUUAAAGCGCGUGUAGGCGGAUUCGUGCGUCUGUCGCUGAAAUCCCCCGGCUCAACCGGGGAACGGGCGCGGAUACGACGAGUCUGGAGGGGCAUAGGGGGACCUGGAACUUCCGGUGGAGCGGUGAAAUGCGUUGAGAUCGGAAGGAACGCCCGUGGCGAAAGCGAGGUCCUGGAUGCCUACUGACGCUGAGACGCGAAAGCUAGGGGAGCGAACGGG